AAGACAAAUCUAAUAAUAUGCUGUUUUCCUUUUUGUAGAAUGUAAAAACAAUAUGAGGCAUACAUUCCCACCUGAUAAUUACAACAGUGCCAGUAGAUCCAAGCUAAUAAUACAAAUAAUAAACAAUAAUAAACUCACAGUGCUAUCCGGUUGUUCAGUGAUGACGUGAUGAAUCCUACUUCCGGGUCUAAAGUAGUCUGCGUUUAAUAUGGCUUUUGUGUUGUUAACAUGUUUAAUGUUUUGUAUUUUCUUCUAUUUGAUCUCAAAAAGCUCCUAAAACAGUCAGUGAUCACUGUUGACCUCCCUUUAUUACCGCUAAUCAUUUAUUUAAGCUCAGUUUUUAAAACCUUAGGAUGUAGCUACAGCCCAGCCCAUGCAGCAGUAUAUGAAUGACUAACCUCGUAUUGUGGAUGGAUUAUCUCAGUUGUUCUCCUGGCUGAAGUUUGGUCCUUUUACAGCAUCCUGCCAUGCGAUUACAUUUGUUCCUGACCACCGAGAACACUCACGUUAACUUUUAUCCAGUGGAAAAAAAGUUAGCUUGUUUAUAUUAUGCUAACAUAGCUGUGUCGCUAGCGGUCACGUAGCACAUCAUUAUAUACCAGCUAGCCCAACUUCAGUAACCCUACAAACGUCACUGCUGUUUAGUUUUCUGUCUUCAUUUAUGCUGGAAGUGAUAACAGAGCUGUACGUUUGAAUUUGUUUCCAAAACCCCGCAGUCAGGACAUGCUAUAUUGUAUUUAGAUAGAAGCUAGCGAGCUAACUCCCUGCUAACUUCUAACUCCGUUAAAUGUCAUAAAUUCCGUUUUCAUGGAUGCCUGGAUGUUAAACUCAAUUGUUACACCUGGUAGAGCAGAACGCUGAUCAUUUUAUUAAAGAUGAAAGACUUUAGACAGUUUUUCAACUCUCAGUAAUGCCACAGUGAUCGUUUGAUAUAUGGACCUGCAGCGGAGUUUAGGCCCAGACACGGCUAGUGACGUCAGACUGAACAACCGGAUAGAAGUUCAGUUCCUUAUUAGUAAGUUAUUCAAAUUAAAAGAGGGUUUUUACACAGAGGCAUUCUGUCAGGACACCAAGGAGAGCAGUGUGUUUCUAGUGAAAUCGUAAAACAAUCCACUUUCACCUCAAACUGCUCCAUAAAGCUACUUGCCUGUUUGAGAUUACAGCCAUCUUGUGGUUGCAGUUAGUUAUCGUUGCGUAUAGCUCUGGUCUCCGUGGAUCCUGCUGCAUAAUGUCUCCAUUUCCGAUGUGUAUCCAUGUCCUGUUAGCUUGAGCUAAUGAAGAUGACAAGCCAGCAGCUUUUUCCUGGUUGUUUGCGCGUGCACAUUAAGAAAGAACCUAUGGACUGAUAUUAAACUGAUGGGAGACCAGCUGGCUCUACCUUCACUGCUCUGAGAUCAUUUUGUCCUAACGAUGAAAGGGGUGGAAAAACAUUUUUAUGUUGAAGAAAUAAAAAUGAUCCAAGGUUUCUGAUCACUGCAAAGGUUAAUUCACUGAAGUGCAUCAGAUUCAUGUCAAUUUGUACAAUUCAGCCUGUUCAUGCCACUCUAUAAAGACAAGCUAAAGCUUUGUGGCGCACGUUGUCUUGCUGUCUAUCUUGGCUCCACAUACGCUAUAGCUCUUAGUUUUGUUGCUAUUGGAUUUAGACCAGGAAACAUCUGGGAUGAAAGUCCAAAAUAAGAAUUA
This is a long non-coding RNA of Astatotilapia calliptera (eastern happy), 1683 nucleotides long. The record is from Ensembl. NCBI's taxonomy places the organism in Eukaryota, Metazoa, Chordata, Actinopteri, Cichliformes, Cichlidae.